Molecule: ribosomal RNA, 497 nt
Filed under: uncultured bacterium
Lineage: Bacteria
Description: partial 16S ribosomal RNA
Rfam family: Bacterial small subunit ribosomal RNA
Source: RNAcentral
GAUGAACGCUGGCGGCGUGCCUAAUACAUGCAAGUCGAGCGAACGGACGAUAAGCUUGCUUUUCUGAUGUUAGCGGCGGACGUGUGAGUAACACGUGUAUAACCUACCUAUAAGACUGGUAUAACUUCGGGAAACCGGCGCUAAUACCGGAUAAUAUUCUGAACCGUAUUGUUCAAAAGUGAAAUACGGUCUUGCUGUCUCUUAUAGAUGGAUCCGCGCUGCAUUAGCUAGUUGGUAAGGUAACGGCUUACCAAGGCGACGAUGCAUAGCCGACCUGAGAGGGUGAUAGGCCACACUGGAGCUGAAACACGGUCCAGACUCCUACGGGAGGCAGCAGUAGGGAAUCUUACGCAAUGGGGGAAAGCAUGACGGAGCAACGCCGAGUGAGAGAUGAAGGUCUUCGGAUCGUAAAACUGUGUUAUGGGGGAAGAACAUAUGUGGAAGUAGAUGUGGAGAUAUUGACGGUAACUAAUAAAGAAGCAACGGCUAACUACGUG